UGGAAGUACCCUGCCGUAACAAGGUCUCCGUUGGUGAACCAGCGGAGGGAUCAUUGCUGGAACGCGCCCCAGGCGCACCCAGAAACCCUUUGUGAACUUAUACCUUACUGUUGCCUCGGCGCAUGCCGGCCCCCUCGGGGGCCCCUCUCCGGAGGAGCAGGCACGCCGGCGGCCAACCUAACUCUUGUUUUUACACUGAAACUCUGAGAAUAAAACAUAAAUGAAUCAAAACUUUCAACAACGGAUCUCUUGGUUCUGGCAUCGAUGAAGAACGCAGCGAAAUGCGAUAAGUAAUGUGAAUUGCAGAAUUCAGUGAAUCAUCGAAUCUUUGAACGCACAUUGCGCCCUCUGGUAUUCCGGAGGGCAUGCCUGUUCGAGCGUCAUUUCAACCCUCAAGCCUGGCUUGGUGAUGGGGCACUGCUUUUACCCAAAAGCAGGCCCUGAAAUUCAGUGGCGAGCUCGCCAGGACCCCGAGCGCAGUAGUUAAACCCUCGCUCUGGAAGGCCCUGGCGGUGCCCUGCCGUUAAACCCCCAACUUUUGAAAAUUUGACCUCGGAUCA
RNAcentral lists this ribosomal RNA (560 nucleotides) under Phomopsis sp. F103. Its description in RNAcentral is "eukaryotic LSU rRNA". The stretch from base 230 to 383 matches the Rfam family "5.8S ribosomal RNA". Lineage: Eukaryota; Fungi; Ascomycota; Sordariomycetes; Diaporthales; Diaporthaceae. The record is from RNAcentral.